This 779-nucleotide unclassified non-coding RNA is filed under the name Hevea brasiliensis (rubber tree). Lineage: Eukaryota; Viridiplantae; Streptophyta; Magnoliopsida; Malpighiales; Euphorbiaceae. The record is from RNAcentral.
CCGCUAGCAAACAGCCCCACUGUAGAGACAGCAGUGGCUACAAUUGCUGUGUAAAUUUGCAUCUCCAGAACCACGGAAAAAGUUUCUUUCUUUAGAACCUUUUGGAAUGAAAGCUGCAUAAGGGAAAGCAAUAGAGCAUACAUAGCUGAAGCGGCGAGAGUAACUAGAAAUCCAAUGACAUAUUUAGACUUAGUUACGCCUGGAGGCUUAUCAGAAUCUUCAUUAACAGCAAGAAGAGAGGCAGAUAAUGAGAGCACGACAACAGAAUUCAUGAUCAGUGCUGUGAACUUUUGAUGGUUUAGGAAGUAAGAAAUAACUGCACUGAAAACCAAUUGUGUUGCACAAAUAAGGGAAUACGUAGAAGCGGAGAGAUACAAUAGACCAAUUGAAUAGAGCAUGUUAUCUCCUGCAACCAGUACACCAAUAACCAAAUAGACCACGCUAACUGUGAUGAUUGAAGGUCGAUUCGAGGCUUCUGAAUGAGUUUGAGGAGAAGAAAUGACUAGGUAAGGAAUGAAAAGAAGAGGAAAAGCAGCUGUCUGGACAACAGUGGCCAUCCACUUACUAUUUCCACCCUUCUCAUAGUAAAAUCUUCCCAAAAUUACAGCAGUAGCUUGACCAACGAGAAGGAAAACAAUGUUGAGUGCCACCAGAAGCCAAAAGUGCAGACGGUUCAGCUUUGCCAUCGGAUGUUGUGCAUCAUCUUUUUGCAAAAUAGGUUGCUGAUUAUCUGCCAUGGUGGAAAAAGGGAAAAUUUGGUCAAGCGGCUACAACAGAAG